Raphanus sativus (radish) is the source of this 1730-nucleotide long non-coding RNA. RefSeq lists it as uncharacterized. Lineage: Eukaryota; Viridiplantae; Streptophyta; Magnoliopsida; Brassicales; Brassicaceae. The record is from RefSeq and is a predicted model, not a curated record. The transcript has 4 exons.
UUAAACGCCGCGUUUUCUAUUAGGGUUAACGUGUGUUCGUUCACAUCUCCGGAGAAUGGAGUUUCGGGAGAUUCAGGAGACAUCAUGAAUAAUCUCUGAGUGAAGCUCAGAUUGCGUCGGUUCGUAUUUGGUUCUUAUGCUCCAAAACAAUGCCUUGAUUAAUAGCCUUUAAGAAACUUAUUAACUCCAUCGAUUCACACCAGUCAUGAUUUCACAUUCAAUGCUCUCUUAUAGGCGGUGUAUAUCCACCUAUAAAAAGAAUUCAUGUCUACUGCAAUCUCUGAUUAGACCAAUCCAUUUCCAGAAUGGAAACCUACGAUGAAGAAGUCACCGUAAGCUUCGCAACCUAGAUUUGAGUACGGUUGUGUCAAUGACAAGACUGAAGCGACCCGUUGAGUCCAUUGAAGGAAAGAUCAAUACUUUGCAGGGAUGGGGGAUUUAUGCUCUUUGAAAUUUCUCCAAAGAGAUCGUUGCAACUCAAAUCAGGGAAUCCAUUGCUGAUUCGAACUUUGUUAGCCGUCAUGGUGCCUUCUUGCGGCGACUGUAAAAAAUAACUUUAAAGCUAUUCGAUCUGUCCGCCGUUUUGGAAUCAUACGAGUAGCGAGUUCCAGAGAUGAUAUGAGGAUAUACAUAUGUGGCAAAAGGAUGAGAAUAGUUUGGGAAUCGUUCCGGUUGCGACAGUGGUGCAUGGUGAUAAUGGGUUUUAAUAUGAUUCCUAUAAUGAUAACUUUUUGAAAUUGAAGUAUUAAAGGUGAUAUUUUUUAAGUUCGAUUGUGGUUUAGGAGAUAUGUUUAAAUGUUAUCUUGGGGGUAUAUAUAUAAUCAUAUGCCAAUUGUUUAUGUUCUGAAACAGAUAAUCAAACCUGUAUUGGUUUUGGUGUAGGGAUCUGGUGGACCAGAGGAGGAAGAUAAUUGAUGGCCGCCAUGGCUGAAACCUCUGCUUAAAGAGCAGUUCUUUGUUCGCUGCAAGUUUCAUGUAGACUCUCACAAGGGCGAUUGCAAUAUGUAAUACUUAGACUGCACCAACGGCGAGCUUUGCUCUCUUUGUCUUGCCCAUCACAAAGAUCACCUCACCAUCCAAUCCAAGUGCGUUCUUGCUUUUUUCUUACUUAGAUUUUUUGGUUGGUUGUGCUCUUUAGUUUAGUUUUUCAAUUUGUAUUGAUUGUUUUUGGCAGAUAGGUAGAUCUUCUUACCAUGAUUUUAUAUGUGUGAAUGAGUUACAAAAGUGUUUGCAUAUUUCCGGUAUCCAAAUUUAUGUGAUCAAUAGUGCUAAAGUCAUUUUCUACCACGAGAGGCCUCAUCCUUAAGUAAGGAAAAGUCUAUAUACAACGAAUAUCAGCGUCGGAGAAAAGAAAGUAAUGGUGGUUGGGAACGUAAAUUCGGAUGAAAAAAAAAGAUCACGACAGCUGGUAGACACGAGAUACGGUUGUAGUCAAUGGAUAACAAAAACAACUCAACUGUGAUUACCAGAGAAGAAAUCUAAAAACCAGGAAAAAUGAAGAUGACCUUAGCAGCGGAAAUGACGAGGACGACUAAAACAACAACGGUUGUGUUUUUGAUGUCGACACAUGCAUUCACAGGCCUCUCAAGGAAAAUGAGGUGGUUGUGAUCAAGUGAAGCAAGUUCUAAGGUGUUAUAUAUACACUUUACCAAAAAAAAAAUGUAAUAUAAACUAAGCGUUUAGGCAUGGAAAUGUCUUUUCAUUAAUUGGGAUUUAGUAUGAUUAUUGUA